RNAcentral lists this transfer RNA (53 nucleotides) under Saprospirales bacterium. Its description in RNAcentral is "tRNA-Leu". It matches the Rfam family "tRNA", at positions 17 to 65 of the family's 71-position model. From Rfam's summary of the family: Transfer RNA (tRNA) molecules are approximately 80 nucleotides in length. Lineage: Bacteria; Pseudomonadati; Bacteroidota; Saprospiria; Saprospirales. The record is from RNAcentral.
GGUAGAGCACUUCCUUGGUAAGGAAGAGGUCGUGAGUUCAAUUCUCAUCAACA